AGCGUUGUCCGGAAUUAUUGGGCGUAAAGGGCGUCUAGGCGGUUUUUUAAGUCUGGGAGUGAAAGGCGACGGCUCAACCGUCGACGCGCUUCGGAAACUGGGGGACUUGAGGGCAGGAGAGGCGAGCGGAAUUCCCGGUGUAGCGGUGAAAUGCGUAGAGAUCGGGAAGAACACCAGUGGCGAAGGCGGCUCGCUGGACUGGCCCUGACGCUGACGCGCGAAAGCGUGGGGAGCGAACGGGAUUAGAUACCCCGGUAGUCCACGCCGUAAACGAUGGGCACUAGGUGUGGGAGGUAUCGACCCCUCCCGUGCCGGAGUUAACACACUAAGUGCCCCGCCUGGGGAGUACGGCCGCAAGGUUGAAACUCAAAGGAAUUGACGGGGGCCCGCACAAGCAGUGGAGCAUGUGGUUUAAUUCGACGCAACGCGAAGAACCUUACCCGGGCUUGACAUCCCCGGAACACCCGAGAGAUCGGGUGGCUCUACGGAGCCGGGAGACAGGUGCUGCAUGGUUGUCGUCAGCUCGUGUCGUGAGAUGUUGGGUUAAGUCCCGCAACGAGCGCAACCCUUGUCCCGUGUUACCAGCGUAAAGGCGGGGACUCACGGGAGACUGCCGGUGACAAACCGNGAGGAAGGUGGGGAUGACGUCAAAUCAUCAUGGCCCUUAUGUCCGGGGCUACACACGUGCUACAAUGGCCGGCACAGCGGGAUGCGAAGGGGCGACCCGGAGCGAAUCCCUGAAAGCCGGUCCCAGUUCGGAUCGCAGGCUGAAAC
RNAcentral lists this ribosomal RNA (774 nucleotides) under uncultured Bacillota bacterium. RNAcentral's name for it is "bacterial SSU rRNA". It matches the Rfam family "Bacterial small subunit ribosomal RNA", at positions 537 to 1311 of the family's 1533-position model. The record is from RNAcentral. Lineage: Bacteria; Bacillati; Bacillota.